RNAcentral lists this transfer RNA (70 nucleotides) under Ameiurus melas (black bullhead). RNAcentral describes it as "tRNA-Val". The record is from RNAcentral. Lineage: Eukaryota; Metazoa; Chordata; Actinopteri; Siluriformes; Ictaluridae.
UUUCUGUAGUGUAGUGGUUAUCAUGUUUGCCUAACACGCAAAAGGUCCCUGGUUCGAGAAAAAAAGAAAA